RNAcentral lists this ribosomal RNA (253 nucleotides) under uncultured bacterium. RNAcentral's name for it is "partial 16S ribosomal RNA". It matches the Rfam family "Bacterial small subunit ribosomal RNA", at positions 524 to 776 of the family's 1533-position model. The record is from RNAcentral.
UACGUAGGGUGCGAGCGUUGUCCGGAAUUAUUGGGCGUAAAGAGCUCGUAGGCGGCUCGUCGCGUCGACCGUGAAAACCCGCGGCUUAACUGCGGGCUUGCGGUUGAUACGGGCGGGCUAGAGUUCGGUAGGGGAGACUGGAAUUCCUGGUGUAGCGGUGAAAUGCGCAGAUAUCAGGAGGAACACCGGUGGCGAAGGCGGGUCUCUGGGCCGAUACUGACGCUGAGGAGCGAAAGCUAGGGGAGCAAACGGG